CAGCCGCCACGGUAAUACGUAGGUGGCAAGCGUUGUCCGGAAUUAUUGGGCGUAAAGGGCUCGCAGGCGGUUUCUUAAGUCUGAUGUGAAAGCCCCCGGCUCAACCGGGGAGGGUCAUUGGAAACUGGGAAACUUGAGUGCAGAAGAGGAGGGUGGAAUUCCACGUGUAGCGGUGAAAUGCGUAGAGAUGUGGAGGAACACCAGUGGCGAAGGCGACUCUCUGGUCUGUAACUGACGCUGAGGAGCGAAAGCGUGGGGAGCGAACAGGAUUAGAUACCCCAGUAGUCCCUGUCUCUUAUAC
Molecule: ribosomal RNA, 301 nt
Filed under: uncultured bacterium
Lineage: Bacteria
Description: partial 16S ribosomal RNA
Rfam family: Bacterial small subunit ribosomal RNA
Source: RNAcentral